This is a long non-coding RNA of Seriola aureovittata, 904 nucleotides long. RefSeq lists it as uncharacterized. NCBI's taxonomy places the organism in Eukaryota, Metazoa, Chordata, Actinopteri, Carangiformes, Carangidae. The record is from RefSeq and is a predicted model, not a curated record. The transcript has 3 exons.
AUUGGCGCAUUGAUAUUUAGUUGAAAUGACACCUAAUUAGCAGGCAGGUGUGCAAUCUGGGUGAAGUUCGUCAUGACAGGAGUUUGAUAGUGCUCUUGAAAUGUAGUUUAGCUAAUAUCACAAAGAGCAAAUAGUUUUUUUUUGGACACAACGUGUACAGCAGCGUUGUUGAGAGGAGGUGCAGCCGCACGUGAGGACCUCGGUUGGACGGAGAAAAUAAAGAGACAGGCUACAUACUGCGAAGCUAACAGCUCGGCUGCUAGCAUAAACUACGUCAAGCUACACCCGGUAAACCUCCCUCCUACAUUCACAGGCUGCUUCAGCCGCGCCACCACACCGCCACCGACGGCCUCGGGUUAUUUCGGACAUGACAAACCAAACUAAGUGUGUUUGCAGCGAGCCACGCUUCACACACGGAAGGCCCGUUUUGUUCUGCUGAUCCUCCAGAGAAACUUUACUCCCAGCUGCACUAAUGAGGGGAAGGAUAUUAAAGAUAUUAUCCUGAGACUGUCCACAGCGGCGCUAUGGCCUUCAGUUACUUUAAUGGUCCAAGAUGAGUAAACCUGAAUCUCAGCUUUUAAACAUCCCACCAGAAACCUCUGGGUGACAUCAGAUGCUACAUCAACAUUUUGCAGGACCCUUAUAAAAUCUUUCUACCUCCCUGUGCAUCCAUCCAUAGUGGGCCUGAGCCACAGAGCUCAAUGCAUUUAUGAGCUGCUUGUGCUUUUUUGGUUGUACAUUUUAUGUAGUAACCUGCAAAUAUCAGUCAGACUAGUAUGUAAAUUCAGAUUUUUUCUGAUUGGUGCACAUCAUUAAACAGUCUUUUACUACCCUGUUAAUGAAUAAAGCUGCUUCAGUAUCAAUACAGGAGCACGAUGAUUCAGGAUUGUACAGUUUCACACAU